GCAAGACAUAUAUAGUCCAGAUUCAAUGGACCUGCAAAAGAUCUCCUAAUUAUAAAUUCCCACAGAAACAAAGCUUCAAGAAAGGUCUCUUACACUUUCCCUUCUCCUUCUCUUCAUGGAACAAUGAAGCCUGCAACAAUUUUUACAAGCGAAGCAAUUGAAGAGAAGAAUGAGGGAAAAGCAUUUUUAAUUUAAUCCCUAUAGUAUGCAGAAGCAUUAUUUUACACUCCCAUGUUUGGAGAAUUUACCUAAGACACCAUUUCUGUCUAUGUUGAGACUAAGACAUUAAACAUGUGUAUUCAUUAAUGAGUUCCCCUGAAAACUUCAUUGUUAAUAAUAUUUAUAUUUAUUAUUAUUAUUA
This is a long non-coding RNA of Andrographis paniculata, 361 nucleotides long. RefSeq lists it as uncharacterized. The transcript is spliced from 2 exons. The record is from RefSeq and is a predicted model, not a curated record. Lineage: Eukaryota; Viridiplantae; Streptophyta; Magnoliopsida; Lamiales; Acanthaceae.